GAUGAACGCUGGCGGCGUGCCUAAUACAUGCAAGUCGAGCGAACGGACGAGAAGCUUGCUUCUUUGAUGUUAGCGGCGGACGGGUGGGUAACACGUGGAUAACCUACCUAUAAGACUGGGAUAACUUCGGGAAACCGUAGCUAAUACCGGAUAAUAUUUUGAACCGCAUGGUUCAAAAGUGAAAGACGGUCUUGCUGUAACUUAUAGAUGGAUCCGCGCUGCAUUAGCUAGUUGGUAAGGUAACGGCUUACCAAGGCAACGAUGCAUAGCCGACCUGAGAGAGAGAUCGGCCACACGGGAAGUGAGACAGGGUCCAGACUCCUGCGGGAGGCAGCAGUAGGGAAUCGUCCGCAAGGGGGGAGAGCCUGACAGAGCAACGCCGCGUGAGUUAUGAAGGAGUUCGGAUCGGAAAGCUCUGUUAUUAGGGGAGAACAGAUGUGUAAGUAACUGUGCAGAUCUUGACGGUACCUAAUCAGAAAGCCACGGCUAACUACGUG
Molecule: ribosomal RNA, 497 nt
Filed under: uncultured bacterium
Lineage: Bacteria
Description: partial 16S ribosomal RNA
Rfam family: Bacterial small subunit ribosomal RNA
Source: RNAcentral